CGUGUGCUUACAAGUAGUCAGAGCCCGUUAAUGGGUGAUGGCGUGCCUUUUGUAGAAUGAACCGGCGAGUUACGAUUUGAUGCAAGGUUAAGCAGUAAAUGUGGAGCCGUAGCGAAAGCGAGUCUGAAUAGGGCGUUUAGUAUUUGGUCGUAGACCCGAAACCAGGUGAUCUACCCUUGGUCAGGUUGAAGUUCAGGUAACACUGAAUGGAGGACCGAACCGACUUACGUUGAAAAGUGAGCGGAUGAACUGAGGGUAGCGGAGAAAUUCCAAUCGAACCUGGAGAUAGCUGGUU
RNAcentral lists this ribosomal RNA (295 nucleotides) under Staphylococcus aureus. RNAcentral describes it as "partial 23S ribosomal RNA". It matches the Rfam family "Bacterial large subunit ribosomal RNA", at positions 557 to 854 of the family's 2925-position model. Lineage: Bacteria; Bacillati; Bacillota; Bacilli; Caryophanales; Staphylococcaceae. The record is from RNAcentral.